UCCCUCAUUUGCCUUGUACUGAUAGAACAGGGAAGAUAAUGCCUCUCUCAACCAUGGCUAGUGGGUGAGUACUGAAUAGUCCUGAUUUCUUGCCUUCUGAAGCAGUUUUUAGUGUUAGCUACCAUGAAAAAGUAUAGGACAGGACUCCAAAUCAUCCAGGAAAUUAUAGGAGGGCUUGGUAGAAUAGAUGGACUAAAUCACAGCUCCUGUUGCAUUACAUUCCACCUAGUUAGCUUUGAAAAAAUAUGCUCUUAAAAUAGGCUUUUAUUUAGGGAAAAAUUAUUUCUACCAGUCAACCACAAACUCAUCAGCACCUUCAGCAUUUCCCCACCAUGAGAGAGCAGGUAGAAGGGUGGAGUGGGUGCUGUGACCCAGGCAGACUGUGUGAAUUCCCUGAUUUCAGAUGAUGCUCUCCACUCCUACAUCAGUUCCUGUAGCCAGUGACUGCUUGCAUGUCAUCAGUGCUUAGAGGAGGCUGGGGAAGGGGUGAAGUGUGCAAGGCCAAAGCAGAGGCAAAAUUUAGAGAUCUCCACUUAUACUAUACCAUGCAAUUCUGCAAGAGCUGAUAGCUUAAAAAAUGGUGAGCUCGAUGUUUUUGUUCAUCUCUGGAAUAGCAAAGAGCGUGUACAAUAUCUAUUUGGUUUUGUUUUAGGCUGAGUGUACAACAUAGUCAACUUUUGAAAACCCCACUGCUUUCAGUAAUUUUACCCCUCCUAUUUCCUAUACAACACACAUUGGGUCAUUAAAUCAAUUUAGCUUUUAAUUUUUAACUUUCUCCCCACCAAUAUUUGGUUUACUGCUUGUUACAAUAGGUAAACAAAGAGACUGUGUGGUGCUGCAUGUUCCCAGAGUUUCUCUUCUGCAGCAGUGCUCCCAGCAGGAUUUGACAGGGGGGAGCAAGGCUGUCAGAGCAGCGCUGAGCGGCCACCACUCACCCACCCAUGAAUGCCAAAUCCAUAUCCCCACAGACUGCCAUCCUCAUUUCAGCUGGUUUUCCCCUGUCCCAACCUGAGACAAAGGCAAUUUCCAUCCUCAGCUCUCCUUUAACCCCUCAGAAAGCCUGGCAGGUGUGUUUAUUGCAGGAGCAGGCACACAAACAGUCGAGCAGUGUUUCACCACCAGCUUUCCUUUGUACUGCAGAACCUUUUCACUGGGUACUCCGGUUUUGCAGCUCCUGCCAGCAGGGAACUGUGCUUGUGCCAGUGCCAUUUAAGUGGGAUAUUUCAUUAAGAGAUCAGCAGCAGGCACAUGGAAAUGACAGCGAUCAUUAAGUCCGCAUUACUCUGUUUGCACUGGGGAGCAGUGGAGGCCCCAGGCACAGCAGGGCUGCAGGCACAGGGGCAGCCAGCCCUCUGUAAAUCCCUGCAGAUUGCCUGGGACACACCGAGUGCCUUCAGCAUGGGGCAGCCAGGCUCUGCUAUCUGUCCUGGAGGCUGAGAUGCUGCAAUAAUGAAUACGACAGAAGAGAAUAAGGAGAUACCAGGUGAAUUUGCCCCUGGCAGUGGUGUGUGGUUGAUUCACACCAUUUCUGAGCCCUGAGCAGAGGUGCUUUUCAUUACACAAAUCCCUGCAGCGUGAUUAGUUUGCCUAAUACAUGCCCUGCUUUUUCUCAGGGCAGGAUACAAAUCCUGGUGCUCGCAUUGGUUGGCAGCAUCAAGGAGGCAGUGGGAUUUGUGUGACCACCGUGAGAUGGAUUCUCUGUCACUGCAGAGGGUUUCACACCUCACUCCUGGCACUGCCCAGGGCAGAGUCUGCUCUCCACGGUGUUCUGUGAAACGGGUCUGAGUCACCAAGUGGCGUUAGUGAAGGGAAAAUGAAAAGGGAGAAUCUUGAAAUCACUGUGGAGAAAAGGAUGGGCGUCAGGAAGGAGAUGAAUGCACGGGGGACAGAGAAAGAAAGAAUUAUUGAAACAUUAUGGAGAAACAUAAUCUGGAAAAACUAUCCAUGGCACAAAACAAAGGUGCUCUCAGGAGGGAAAGUGUGAGUAAAUGGCCAUAGUGUUGGAUGUCACAUCCACAUUCAAAUCCAAAUUAUCCCUGUUUUUUCAGCUUGGUUAAACAAACCAAGGUAAAGACACACCUUUAUGACAGCGCACCUACUGAUAAUUCCUUUUCUGUUUGGUAAUAAAUACAACCUGUCCUGUGGUUCACCCAUCACUUGUUUGGCCAUACAGGGAAGGAGUGAGUCUCCUCCAUGUAACAGUCAGCUCUGAGCACCAGGACAAGGGAGCAGUGAUGCAGGUGAGAUUUACAGUGCAGUCAAUAUGACAUUUGUUUGUUUUCUCAACACAUUCCUUUAUCUCACUAGUAAUGCACAAGUGCUUUUUCUAAACUGUAGAGAAUCAUGGACAAGUUUUAUGAUUUAAUGCAGCUGGUAAGAGUUCACUUAAAACACAAUGGAUGGUCUGUUACACUAGGCAUGAGAUUAAAGUCCUUAUGACUGGGAAUUUGCACACAUUCAAAUCUUUAUUUCACAAGGAAAACCACCGGAGAUAGGUAUUUAAAUCAGCAUAUCUCUGGUACAGUGAGUUAUUGCUAUAGCCUCUCUGAGGUUCUGCCCAGAUAAAUUUCAAACUGGCCAAACCAUUUGGAUUUGAAAAGUUUAUACUUGACCUUUGCACAGACAAAGUCCCAAUUGUAUUAAAAUGAAUUUGAUCAAGCGAAUGAUUUGUGGCUUUCUGUUCUGAGCAUGAGAAAACUUCCUUGUGUUGGGGAGAUAGCGACCCUGGCCAAGAACAGCAACUUCUGCUGGAGAACCUUGAGCUUCCUUCUGGUGUGGAUCUGUGGAUGGUGCUGGGUGCAGUGAGGUUUGUUAGGGCGGCUGCUGCAGGGAAUUGUCACAGUCACCUACACUGCACAGAGAGAUUCUCCACAUCCUGUUCACUCCUCAACACACUACAGAUACCAGCCAGGGUAACUGUGCCACCCUUGAAUGCACUUAUGCUGAAAAUGGGCUUGAUUUAUAAGUGCUUUUAUUUACAUCUGCUGGUUUCACACUUACGCUGAGGUGUAAAGGGUUUUUUCUGAAUGCUGCUAAGAAUGGUGCUGGUACCUCUUGAAUGCAGUGUCAUUAAUGCCCUUAUCUGUAAUAUCUCCUCAUGGAAGUGGGAAAUCAUACCCAGAAUUUUUUCUGGACUUCCUCUUUAGUGGUAUGUUUGGUGAAAAAUAUUCGCCCCUGUUGUGGACUGUCUAUGUAUCUUAAAAAAAAAAACCAAAAAAAAAAAGGUUUGUAUCCCCGCAGUGGAUUGAACAAUCUCAUCUUCGUGAUGUGCUCAGGGUUUCUGUUGCUGAGACUGUCACCUGCUGGCCACGAAGAAGCUCGCCAGGAUCUCGGGAAAAACCUCAGAAGCUGAUAGAUUAAAUUCUCAGGUUUGCCUUUAGAAAUUACACAUUGAGCUGUUCCUGCUUUAUCUAACUCUAAACAGGAUGGUAAUUCUAUAAGUGGAGGUAGACCAGGAAAGCUUCCUCAUUUAUAAAACUUUUAAAUUUCAUGCAGUUUUAAUGCAAAGGAAACUGAGUUCUAAUCACAGUGAACAUGUGGGGUAAAAUGCUGGUUCCAGUCAAUUUAACUGAGCUUAACUAUGGCAAACUAAGCCACAACCAAUAAGCAGGGGAAAGGGGAAAAAAAAAAGAAACUAAAGGCUGGUUAUCCUGCCUCUGGCAGAUUUCUGUCACAUUAAGCCAUGGAUACAAGAUGACCUUAGGAAAGGGUCACAUCUUUGUACUGACCAGCAGAGCUCAACAGAAAUCAAAGGACCUUUACUGAGGCUCUACACUAGAGCUUUUGCAGGAAAGGAAAAGAAUUGCUCUGAAAAGCUCUUUCAGCCCUGCCCUUGUCCUGCCCUUCCAUCUGUUGUCACUGAUAGCUCAUUUUCUGCCAGUCUUUGGGCCAGAAUCUCAGCUGGUGUAAAUCUGAGCAAGUCUGAAUUCACAGCUGGAAUGAGGGUUUGCAGGGUGGUUUAUUCUCCUCAUUUUGAAAGUGCUCCCCUGUUCCCCCCAGAUCUGAGAGCAGGUUACUACAGUGCCUGGAAUGCAUUGUUCAGUUGUGAUUUUUCUGUUUCAGACACAGAAAUGAGAUCUGAGCUGUACAACAGGUGCUGAACUGCACCUCUUAUUCCAGUGGAGCAACACCCUCUAGAGUUCUUCCCAAAAAUCUGUUUUUUUCUUAUGUAAUUGAGCUGUGUUACCAGCAUCCUGCAGGAUUGCUGAUAGGAAGGAAAGCUGGUGCCAUAGAGGCUGUUUCAUUACAAUUAUCCUCAGCUCACUUGGUCUUACACAGGGUAUUGCUGCCUGAAAGCACAUCUAAAGUAACCCUCAAGUUCAGUGCUGCAUGUCGUACUGAAACUUUAAGAAGAGAUUUUUUUAUGGAUGUUUUUCCAUAAGCCUCUUAGUUCACAUCUGUAAAAGAUGGAUUUCAUGCACUUUAAAGAUAUUUUUUGACUCUGGAGUCAAUCCCUGGAAGUGAAUUUAUGCAAAGUGGCCAUAUUUUUAUUUCUUAUUAGAAAUUAUUUUUUCGGUGGGGUUUUUUUUUGGUUGCUUGCUUUUUGGGUUUAUAAUUUCCUUUUAUUUCCCUUCCCUCUGUUCUUGUGCUUGGAUACUUACAAACUUUAUUGUUGCUAGAGAACACGGGUGCCUGGAUGUCUGUCUCAUGAAAGCAAGUGGCUGCUUAAAAAAGAAAACCAGAGAGAUUAGAGACCGCGUGAAAUUCCACUAAAUUCAGGGAAAAGCAUAACUUCAAAGGAUUUAGGAUCAGAUUUCAAAUGCAUAUCAUGAGAGACUUUUGAAACUGGUGGAUUAAUACAGGGUGCUGAGUCUCAGUCUCCACCCCUGUGCAGGACAGAUAAUGCCAUUUACCUGCCCCAGAGCUGCCUCCCUUCUCCCUUCUCCCUUCUCGUGUGCUGCUGGAAAGAGCAAGGCUCUUCAAGGCCAGUCUGUGUCAAGAGAAUUAGAAGAGCUCUGGCUCACAACCAGGUAAGCCCUGGAGCCAGCUCUCAAACACCAACAGGGAGAACCCACAGCCUCUCCAUCUCCAUUGAGAAUAAACGAGGCUUUUCCUGAAAUGCUCUUUUCAAAUCUGUGAAUGCUAAACUAGAAAAAAUCCCCGUGGCUUCCUUCUCUGCUUCCCGCCCACACUCCUCAGCGAGUGAUUUCCUGGGAGCUGCUGGGAUCUCUGCUCAGGCAGGGGAUGGUUGGGCACCUCUGCUGCUCUCAGUCCUGUACAGGCUUGGGACUGUGGGCUCUGCAGGGCCAUCACAGCCUCUGCAGCCCCAUCCAUCACUUUAUUGAUCACAUGGAGAUAGAUUCCCUUUAAAACUUCUCUUUUGCUGGUAGAUUUACUUUGCACCGAGACUUAAGUGUGAGUUAAUAUUCUUUUUGAGGGGAGAUAAAGGGCAGUGGAGAUCCUAGCCUAAAGAAUGUAGCCUGUGAAUUUUAUCCCUGCACUGCACAUACAUUUUGAUGGUCUUUGCUGUGUGUUUUAUUGAGGCUGAGUCAUAAGCAAAUCUUAGUGCUUUGGAAGGAAGGAAAUGGAGUUUGGGCAAGAACACGACACGUCACAAAUGGAUCCAGCAAAGGCACUGCUCAAGCUGUGAGAGCACAGUGACGUAUCUCAGCAAAAGGAGAACUGAAGGUCAAGAGUCCCUGUGCUGCAUUACAGUUUUCAUCACCUGAAGCCUGUCUGGACUCGGUGAUGUUUGAGAUGAGCCAAUCCUGCUCAUGUGCCUUCCCUCAGAAACAGUCCCAUAGUUAACAGGCACUGUUUCUGUCUUGUAUUUCAGUCCUGGGAUGGUGAACAUCUGCCCAAGGCUUGGGGCUGAAACAGUUGCUGGGGCUGGGUCAAGGCACAGAAUUUUUGACUGAGGUUGUUGAGGAAGGAGAGUGGAGCUCUUGUGCCAUGGAGGCAGGAGGUUUCCUUGGCAGCUGCCCUUAGGAAUGCUGCCUUUGCCUGGGGAGGAGAGGGGAGCCACACCAGCUGGCUGGGCAGCUUGGGAGAAGGUUUCCUGGGGAGACUCAGCCAUGGCUUGCAGCACAGCAUCCAGCCUGUCUCACGGAGAUCGGGGCACUGCAGAGGCGUGGGCAGAGCAGCCAGGCUCGGGGCUCCCCAGGGAUCCACUUGGACAGGCACAGCUGGCUGCAGCUCAAACGCCACUGACUCGCAGCCAAGCCUUCAGACAGGGUGAUGCCUAGCUUUGAGGUCAGAAGCCUUUUGAUCUUCUUCAUGGAGCUCACCAUGAGGGAGACACUUAGGUGUACCUAAUUCAAAGAUCUGCACCUUUCACCCCCUCUCCUUGGUGCAGGAUGCCGCUGCUGUCACACUUUGAGAGGCAAUGAAAGGCCAGAAACACACAUUUGUCAGGAUGCUUUUAUAGGAGCCACUGCCCUGCUGACAAGGGGCAGCCCAAGUGUGCUCCCUCCUGCCUCUUGGGCAGGACUUUGGGCCCUUCCUCUGCCUCCCUGGAGCUAUGGAAGGGCAGGUUGUCCUUGCUGCAGCCAGCUGGAAAACUGGAGAGUCUGAGGCCUGCAAUGAGACAGCAGCUCUUGAAGGGGCACUCAGUGCCACCAGAUACAGCCAGACCAGUGGGGCUAUGGAUUAAAUUAUCAUUAGCAAAGCUACCUAGCAAACACAGCUGCAGAAAUGUGGCCCUUUUCCUCCCCCUCCGUUUGGCCAGCUGAUGUUCCUCCUACAUGAUACAGAAGGAUUUUAUUUUACUCAGGUUCAGGCUGCAAAUCUGGCUGAUAUUGGAAGGGGCUUUGGGGGACAUUUGAUAUUUCUGAGGCCACGAGGGUCAUGUUCUUCCAGGCUCCUUCUGGUUUCUGCUCUUUCUUAGGAUUAAUAUUGCAGUAGGGAAGAAUAAAAGGCUCUUUCCAUCUCCAGGAUCUAAAAUGAAGGAACUGAGCAGACAGAAAAUGACAAAUUUCAUUUUAGAAAUAUUAAUGGUUGAAUUUAAUGAACUCUUGGCCUUAAGGAAUGAUAUCCAAGAGGUGCUACCCAGGCAGGAAGUCUGUGUUUGAAUGGGAUGUGUGCACACAGACUGUCUCUGCAGCAUCCCUGGAAGGGCAGCAUUUGUUGGCUGUGCACCCCAGCCCUGGAGUGCUCCCAGCUGGCAGGCAGGACCAGGGACUGUGCCCUGGGGCAGGAGCUGGGCUGCCACAGCCAGGGUUUGAAGCCUGAAAGUGCAUUUAAGGUGUUUGAUUUUGCAAACAUGGAUGCAAGCAGCACUGUGUUUGUUAGCAAGUCCCUCAGGUGUCAUGGCUCUGUGAAUAUUUCCCAGCUCUGACCUGGCCAGUGGAGAGGUCCCACUCCUGGGGGUGUGAGAGCUCCAGCUCCCUGCAGACACUGCUCCAGGUGCUACACACAGAGAUGGACCCACAUAAUAUUUAUACUUUCCUAAUCUGGCAGCUUAAUUUGUACACCCAUGUGGAAAAAAAAGAGAACAACAACUGGGUUGAAUCAUUGUUUUGUUUGUAUUUGGGAGAGAAUUCGCUUGCCUGUUGUUUGCCAUUGCAUCCUCAGAAGAUGGAGGCCCCUGGCCAGCAGGAUGAAGCGUGGCUUUGUUUUGCUGUUUACAGUGGCUGGAAAGCACGAUGGUGAAGAGUGAAAAAGCAUGCAAAUAACUUGUUUAUUCCCAGAGAUGGGUACUUUGUGCUGUCACGAGCUGUGCUGUUGACUCAACCCAGCUUUACUUUCCUGGAACUGGGGGAGCUGACAAAGCUUGCUGAGGAAGACUCCUAAGCCAGAGGGUUUUUGGUUUCACAACAACUCCAUGAAGCAUCCCAGUGUUUUGCUCUAUGGCAUUGAUUACAGGAGAAAGGAAAGAAAGGUGGGAAAUAAAGACAUUAAAAUGAAAUUUCCAAGUGCAGAUUUAAAAUCCCACAGGAAAAGUUAAGAGCAGGGUUGAGUAAACAGGGGGGAUGUAUGGGGUAAAUAGUGAGGCUGGUGACUGACCACAAAAGAUGGAUUGGUUAUUAAAACAUCAUUUGUUGCUCAAUCUGAAUAAACUUUUUAAUGCUGAACCAGAUUUUUAAAAAUUGGGGUGAAUUUAACAUUUUUACCCAAACUGCUGCUAAGCACAGCACUGAAACCAUCAGGCUGCCUCCCACCUAGAGCAUCCUCCUGUGCUGGUCCCUGGGUCUGCAGGGUUACCCCUGGCAUCUGUCACUGGCAGCCCAGUGCCAUCCCAGCAAAAAUAGAAGCAUAUUUAUGUCAAUGCUCAUGUCCUUGCUGUGUGUUUGUGCAGAGCAUGAUGAACUCUGUAUUGGACCACAGCUGCCAGAUCCCAGUUCCUGACUUUGACACCUGGGAAUGUGGGUGGCUGGCUCAGAAGUAAACUUGUGUUUGUUCAGCAAGGUCCUUGUGCCUCAAGAAGAAAUGGGUGAACAACUCGUUGUUUGAAGCUAAAUGAGCCAAAUUUCUCUCAUAUGAACAAUUCUAUGCAAUUUUUUUCUGUAAUUCUGGCAAGGCAUUUGCUCUGUGUUAUGGUCCUACCUACCACUGCAGCUCAGGACAUGCAGCCUUCAUGCAUUUAUUCCUAUGACAGUCCUGUGCAUUUGGGAGCAGAGAUGUGGAGGAACUGUGGGAAGCCAGGAGGAGGAAAACAGGCUUUAGUUUGUGUAGUGUUUGUGUGCACUGCAUUGUGCUUCCCUAUCCCUGCUCAUUUGCUCAUUUGCUCUGCUCUGAGACUGAGCAUGAUUGAAUUAUAUCUUUGGGAAAAUGCAAA
Taeniopygia guttata (zebra finch) is the source of this 8716-nucleotide non-coding RNA. The record is from RefSeq and is a predicted model, not a curated record. Lineage: Eukaryota; Metazoa; Chordata; Aves; Passeriformes; Estrildidae.